AUUGAACGCUGGCGGCAGGCCUAACACAUGCAAGUCGAACGAGUGGCGGACGGGUGAGUAAUGUCUGGGCAACUGCCCGAUGGAGGGGGAUAACUACUGGAAACGGUAGCUAAUACCGCAUACCAUCUGAUGUACCCAGAUGGGAUUUGCUAGUAGGUGGGUUAAUGGCUCACCUAGGAGACGAUCCCUAGCUGGUCUGAGAGUAUGACCAGCAAAACGGGAACUGAAACCGGGCCCAGACUCCUACGGGAGGAAGAAGAGGGGAAUAUUGCACAAUGGGGGAAAGCCUGAUGCAGACAUGCCGGGUGUAUGAAGAAGGCCUUCGGGUUGUAAAGUACUUUGAGAGGGGAGGCGUUACCUGCAGAAGAAGCACCGGCUAACUCCGUGCCAGCAGCCGCGGUAAUAC
This 406-nucleotide ribosomal RNA is filed under the name uncultured bacterium. Its description in RNAcentral is "partial 16S ribosomal RNA". It matches the Rfam family "Bacterial small subunit ribosomal RNA", at positions 30 to 526 of the family's 1533-position model. The record is from RNAcentral.